Molecule: ribosomal RNA, 1711 nt
Filed under: Collinsella sp. AF16-8
Lineage: Bacteria; Bacillati; Actinomycetota; Coriobacteriia; Coriobacteriales; Coriobacteriaceae
Description: partial 23S ribosomal RNA
Rfam family: Bacterial large subunit ribosomal RNA
Source: RNAcentral
AGAAUCGGUAGGGGAGCUUCCCAUGGGCGGUGAAGCCGCCGGGCGACCGGCGGUGGAGCGCAUGGGAGUGAGAAUGCUGGCAUGAGUAGCGAGAGACGAGAGAGUAACUCGUCCGCCGUGAACCCGAGGUUUCCUGGGCAAGGCUAAUCCUCCCAGGGUCAGUCGGGGGCUAAGGCGAGGCCGGAAGGCGUAGCCGACGCGCAGCAGGCAGACAUUCCUGCACCGCGCACGCGGCGCUACGACCGACGGGGCGACGGAUGGGGGUGGCUCGGCGGGGUUCUGGACGUCCCCGUGAUGGAGCGCGGCCCGCGGACCAGGGAAAUCCGGUCCGCACGAGGGCGAGGCUCCGGACGAAGCGAUCAAGCGAAGCGAGUGAGCCCGAGGUCCCUAGAAAAACCCCUAGGCAGGCGCGUGCGCGCCCGUACCGCAAACCGACACAGGUGGGUGGGUAGAACAUACCGAGGCGAUCGGGUCAACCAUGGUCAAGGAACUCGGCACAAUGGCCCCGUAACUUCGGGAGAAGGGGUGCCCGCGCGUACGUGAACGGACUUGCUCCGGGAGCGGAGGCGGGCCGCAGUGGAGAGGCCCAAGCGACUGUUUACCAAAAACACAGGACUCUGCAGAAGCCGCAAGGCGACGUAUAGGGUCUGACGCCUGCCCGGUGCCGGAAGGUCACGCGGAGGAGUUAGCGCAUCGCGCGAAGCCCCGAAGCCAAGCCCCGGUAAACGGCGGCCGUAACUAUAACGGUCCUAAGGUAGCGAAAUUCCUUGUCGGGUAAGUUCCGACCUGCACGAAAGGCGCAACGACUUGGGCGCUGUCUCGACCAUGGACCCGGUGAAAUUGCACUGGUCGUGAAGAUGCGACUUACCCGCGGAAGGACGGAAAGACCCCGUGAACCUUCACUGCAGCUUGGCAUUGGCCGCUGGUCCCGCGUGUAGAGGAUAGGCAGGAGGCACAGAUCCGGAGGCGCCAGCCCCCGGGGAGCCGCCCUUGGAAUACUGCCCUCGCGCGACCGGCGUCCUAACCCGAGGCCGUCAACCGGCUCGGGGACCGUGCCAGGCGGGCAGUUUGACUGGGGCGGUCGCCUCCUAAAGGGUAACGGAGGCGCGCGAAGGUCCGCUCGGGACGGUCGGCAACCGUCCUUUUGAAUGCAAGAGUACAAGCGGGCUUGACUGCGAGGCCCACAAGCCGAGCAGGUGCGAAAGCAGGCUCUAGUGAUCCGGCGGCCCCGAGUGGGUGGGCCGUCGCUCAACGGAUAAAAGGUACUCCGGGGAUAACAGGCUGAUCUUGCCCAAGAGUCCACAUCGACGGCAAGGUUUGGCACCUCGAUGUCGGCUCAUCGCAUCCUGGGGCUGGAGCAGGUCCCAAGGGUACGGCUGUUCGCCGUUUAAAGCGGUACGCGAGCUGGGUUCAGAACGUCGUGAGACAGUUCGGUCCCUAUCCUCCGUGGGCGCAGGAGAAUCGAUGGAGGCUGCCCCCAGUACGAGAGGACCGGGGUGGACGCACCUCCGGUGAACCGGUUGUCGACCAACGGCACGGCCGGGUAGCCGCGUGCGGCGCGGAUAACCGCUGAAGGCAUCUAAGCGGGAAGCCGUUCCAGGGAUUAGUUCUCCUUCCGGUAAGGGCCCAGGUAGACUACCUGGUCGAUAGACGGCAGGUGCAAGGGCGGCGACGUCCUCAGCCGAGCCGCACUAAUCGCCCGAGCUCUUCC